This 490-nucleotide ribosomal RNA is filed under the name uncultured bacterium. RNAcentral describes it as "bacterial SSU rRNA". It matches the Rfam family "Bacterial small subunit ribosomal RNA", at positions 28 to 507 of the family's 1533-position model. The record is from RNAcentral.
GAUGAACGCUAGCGACAGGCCUAACACAUGCAAGUCGAGGGGCAGCGAGGAUGUAGCAAUACAUUGUCGGCGACCGGCGCACGGGUGAGUAACGCGUAUGCAACCUACCCGACACAGGGGGAUAACCCGGAGAAAUCCGGACUAAUACCGCAUAAAACAGGGGGUCCCCGCAUGGGAAUAUUGUUAAAGAAUUAUCGGACAAGGAUGGGCAUGCGGGACAUUAGGUAGUUGGGGGGUGUAACGGACCACCAAGCCGACGAUGUCUAGGGGUUCUGAGAGGAAGGUCCCCCACACUGGUACUGAGACACGGACCAGACUCCUACGGGAGGCAGCAGUGAGGAAUAUUGGUCAAUGGGCGGGAGCCUGAACCAGCCAAGUCGCGUGAGGGAAGACGGCCCUACGGGUUGUAAACCUCUUUAGUCGGGGAGCAAAAAGGAUCACGCGUGGUCCAUUGAGCGUACCCGAAGAAUAAGCAUCGGCUAACUCCGUG